ACAAUAACUAAAGCAUAGAAGGAAGGCUAAAAUAAGAAUUCAGAAACUAUAAACCGGCUCUCUUCUAGCUUACGACACAAACUAUGAGUGAGAAAAGGACAAAUGAUUCGCUCUUUGCUUCAUUUUUUCCGAGGUUGUCACAACAUGAAAUGUCAUUUGGACCUAUUGGACUCAUUUUAACUCGGCCAAAUACAUAGUAACAUACAUAAGAAGAUUUUACUUAUAUUUACCGAACUAUUUGACACGGUCGCGUCAACUGUGUUUACGAGUGUCUUGUGUUCAGAUUGUUUUAAGUGAUAAUUUAACAAUAUUUUUCCAAAUAAAUGGAAAGAAACUUUUAUUUAUAUCAAAUAAUUGAGUGUCUCGACUGUGUGACAUUAUGUCUUGUGUGGUAUGGGGCUGCAGCUCACAUUCAGGAAGAAAAGAAAAUAGCCAACAACUUCUGUCGUUUCAUCGAUAUUAAAUCCAAAAGUGUCGACUGGAUUUACAUGAAAAGUCAGUUCAAGAAGACGAGAUGAAAAAUUUAAAAGAAAAGCUGAACAAGUCCCGCCUCAAGAUCAAACGACUUAAUGAAAAAAAAAAAACAAUGUGACAGGGUGUCACAAAGACAGUUUCUAAGCAAAUUGACACUGUUUAGAAAUUAAUAAAUUUGUAUUUAUUGUAAAUAUAAUGUACAUAAUUAAUAACGUGUGAAAUAAAUACUUGCUAAUGAACAGAUUUACGAUCUAAUUUAUAUUUCAUUUUACCUCCUGUUCUUAUUUACUCCUACUCCAACACUCCAGGUUGAUACGAACUGCGCCCAAUAAAGAAUGUAAUGAAUGUUAUAGAUUUGUGUAAGCGACUUAGAUAAAUCUUGACUAAACCUUCCUUUACAAAUACAAAUAUACUUUAUUGCACACAACAUACAAUACUUACAAGUUUUACACGAAAGAUACAGUACACCACCUACCUACCUUUUACUUUCCCUUUCUGUUCUCUUAUGAAUACUUGUAUGCCGUAUUUUUUUAAGUAUAAUGCUAUAUCUAGUAGGUACGAGUAUGGUAAUCCUAGUAUUGAAACAGCUUGUAGCCCUAGUAAAGACCGCCAUUUUAUGUUUACAGAGUGGCACGUUUUUUCUGUAGGUAUUUCCAGUCCAUACUCUUUUCUAUGUCUAUGGCGUGACCCCAUCGGGCCUCUUACCGUCUGUGCGGCUUAGACCCGGCGGCGGCGGUUCCAAUUUGCACGGCACGUCGAUCGACACCAGUGC
RNAcentral lists this long non-coding RNA (1246 nucleotides) under Pectinophora gossypiella (pink bollworm). RNAcentral describes it as "uncharacterized LOC126374540". The record is from RNAcentral. Lineage: Eukaryota; Metazoa; Arthropoda; Insecta; Lepidoptera; Gelechiidae.